GAUGAACGCUGGCGGCGUGCCUAAUACAUGCAAGUCGAGCGAACGGACGAGAAGCUUGCUUUUCUGAUGUUAGCGGCGGACGGGUGAGUAACACGUGGAUAACCUACCUAUAAGACUGGGAUAACUUCGGGAAACCGUAGCUAAUACCGGAUAAUAUUUUGAACCGCAUGGUUCAAAAGUGAAAGACGGUCUUGCUGUCACUUAUAGAUGGAUCCGCGCUGCAUUAGCUAGUUGGUAAGGUAACGGCUUACCAAGGCAACGAUGCAUAGCCGACCUGAGAGGGUGAUCGGCCACACUGGAACUGAGACACGGUCCAGACUCCUACGGGAGGCAGCAGUAGGGAAUCUUCCGCAAUGGGCGAAAGCCUGACGGAGCAACGCCGCGUGAGUGAUGAAGGUCUUCGGAUCGUAAAACUCUGUUAUUAGGGAAGAACAUAUGUGUAAGUAACUGUGCACAUCUUGACGGUACCUAAUCAGAAAGCCACGGCUAACUACGU
RNAcentral lists this ribosomal RNA (496 nucleotides) under uncultured bacterium. RNAcentral describes it as "partial 16S ribosomal RNA". It matches the Rfam family "Bacterial small subunit ribosomal RNA", at positions 28 to 506 of the family's 1533-position model. The record is from RNAcentral.